This 650-nucleotide ribosomal RNA is filed under the name Limosilactobacillus fermentum. RNAcentral's name for it is "bacterial SSU rRNA". It matches the Rfam family "Bacterial small subunit ribosomal RNA", at positions 45 to 650 of the family's 1533-position model. Lineage: Bacteria; Bacillati; Bacillota; Bacilli; Lactobacillales; Lactobacillaceae. The record is from RNAcentral.
UGCCUAAUACAUGCAAGUCGAACGCGUUGGCCCAAUUGAUUGAUGGUGCUUGCACCUGAUUGAUUUUGGUCGCCAACGAGUGGCGGACGGGUGAGUAACACGUAGGUAACCUGCCCAGAAGCGGGGGACAACAUUUGGAAACAGAUGCUAAUACCGCAUAACAACGUUGUUCGCAUGAACAACGCUUAAAAGAUGGCUUCUCGCUAUCACUUCUGGAUGGACCUGCGGUGCAUUAGCUUGUUGGUGGGGUAACGGCCUACCAAGGCGAUGAUGCAUAGCCGAGUUGAGAGACUGAUCGGCCACAAUGGGACUGAGACACGGCCCAUACUCCUACGGGAGGCAGCAGUAGGGAAUCUUCCACAAUGGGCGCAAGCCUGAUGGAGCAACACCGCGUGAGUGAAGAAGGGUUUCGGCUCGUAAAGCUCUGUUGUUAAAGAAGAACACGUAUGAGAGUAACUGUUCAUACGUUGACGGUAUUUAACCAGAAAGUCACGGCUAACUACGUGCCAGCAGCCGCGGUAAUACGUAGGUGGCAAGCGUUAUCCGGAUUUAUUGGGCGUAAAGAGAGUGCAGGCGGUUUUCUAAGUCUGAUGUGAAAGCCUUCGGCUUAACCGGAGAAGUGCAUCGGAAACUGGGAUAACUUGGAGUGC